Molecule: non-coding RNA, 339 nt
Organism: Pelobates cultripes (western spadefoot toad)
Lineage: Eukaryota; Metazoa; Chordata; Amphibia; Anura; Pelobatidae
Source: the annotation of a GenBank genome assembly
CAGAUAGCUCAGGUCUGAGCGCACAUUAUUAAGCGAAUGGCGCUCAGACCACACGAAUACAGUGUAAUCGCCAUGGAGCCAAAGUCUUUACACAGUCAGUUCUCAUGCGAAUGGGCUCCAUGCAGGGCCGGACUGGGAAUUAAAAGCAGCCCUGGAAAAAAAAUAUUUACCAGCCCCAUAAUGCAUCGCGCCAGCAUAGUGUGCAGAUACAGAGUUAGAACAGAUAACUUAAAAUUAAAAAGUACUUCAACGUAAAAAGCGCUCUCAUAGGCUUCAAAACAAACAAAAGUGCAGAUUUAUUUUAAGCAGACGUGCCUUUGCAUGUAAUCAAUGUUUCAG